Molecule: long non-coding RNA, 1281 nt
Organism: Mus musculus (house mouse)
Lineage: Eukaryota; Metazoa; Chordata; Mammalia; Rodentia; Muridae
Product: predicted gene, 41232
Exons: 3
Source: RefSeq, a predicted model, not a curated record
CCCACUCACUUAGUGAAGUGGAUUUAACAUUCCUCCACUUCUUUUCAUACCUCGGUCCCCAAGUCUCUACUUUUACUGCUAAAGACAUCUCACCAAGAUCACCACCGCAUUCUACAGUGGCACGGCGGAACUUUGGAUCCUAUGCCUCACAAGGAACCUAACUGUAACUUAGAACCCAUUGAUCCAGCUUUUCUCACCCCUCCCUCCUCCUUUACUGUUUCCUUGGCUCUGGUAACCACCAUUCUACCCUCAUGAGAUAAACAUUGUCAGGAUCCACGUAGGAAUGAUCUAUACAAUUGAUAGAGGAUUGGUGUCUUGCUCACUUGUUCUUCCCUCACCAGAGAUGAGGAUUGCAGUAGAUGGAAUCUGACACAGAGACUCACAACUGAACAAUGUUCAGAGAGUGAAAGAAUUUGGAGCACUCAGUCCUAAAUGGGAUGCUGGCUUUCUCAAACCUCUUUCCUCAAGGCCCAUGAUCGUGUGCAGAGAAACAGGCAGAAAGAUUAUAAGAGCAAGAGGUGCUGAUGACUUCAAAAAGCAGCAUCUUCCAGACAGGAUAGGAAUGAAACACUCACGAAUCCACAGAGACUGACAGCAUGCAAGAGACCUGCAAAGGUUUAAGCUAGACAAGAUACCAUCCCUGAGGAAGGGAAGUGGAUACUCUUAAUCAAGAAGCUAUUUGUAAUUGAAUCCUACUGCGAAAAGGAAGGUGACACACAAAUUACCGGAGAUCCAGUACCUCAUGAAGGUCAUUUGACCCCCAAUGACAGAACAUGGAUUUGGCAUUAACGUCUGUGUUUCCAGUAAAAUGAUCAGAACACUAAGAGAUAUUUUUCCCUUUACAAAUUUGGAAUUGUGAAGCCAAAAAAUUUACUGUUUUGUAAGAACUUGAGAACUUAUUAUAUUUUAAGAUAUUAUGUUGAAAAUCAAUGUCAUUGAUUUGUCCCUUAAGAAAAUAAUAAUCUAUCUAGACAAGGAAGUAUUGUGUCUUAUGAAGCAAUAUAUAUAUGUGUGUGUGUGUGUGUGUAUUCAUCAAGCAUAUAACUAUAUCAAAUAUCAUUUUUUAUGAAAAUACAAAAGAUGGUGUCAACAUGUAGGAAGAGACAAAUGCAUUACAAUGUUGAGAUAUAUCUACACAAGUAGUUCUGUAUGUUUUCUUUUUCUUGUUUGUGUUUUUCAAAUUUAAUAACUUAUCCUCCAAAUUACUAUGAAGUUAUACAUGUAAUAUGUAAGCAUCCAUGAGAAACAUAAUGUGUAACAAUAUUAAAAUAAGAAAUAACG